CCUACGGGGGACAGCAGUGAGGACUAUUGGUCAAUGGACGAGAGUCUGAACCAGCCAAGUAGCGUGAAGGAUGACUGCCCUAUGGGUUGUAAACUUCUUUUAUAAAGGAAUAAAACGAGGCACGUGUGCCGUUUUGCAUGUACUUUAUUAAUAAGGAUCGGCUAACUCCGUGCCAGCAGCCGCGGUAAUACGGAGGAUCCGAGCGUUAUCCGGAUUUAUUGGGUUUAAAGGGAGCGUAGAUGGGUUGUUAAGUCAGUUGUGAAAGUUUGCGGCUCAACCGUAAAAUUGCAAUUGAUACUGGCAGUCUUGAGUACAGUUGAGGUAGGCGGAAUGCGUGGUGUAGCGGUGAAAUGCUUAGAGAUCACGAAGAACCCCGAUUGCGAAGGCAGCUUACUAAACUGUGACUGACAUUGAUGCUCGAAAGUGUGGGUAUCAAACAGGAUUAGAUACCCGAGUAGUC
RNAcentral lists this ribosomal RNA (460 nucleotides) under uncultured bacterium. Its description in RNAcentral is "partial 16S ribosomal RNA". It matches the Rfam family "Bacterial small subunit ribosomal RNA", at positions 338 to 795 of the family's 1533-position model. The record is from RNAcentral.